Molecule: ribosomal RNA, 433 nt
Filed under: uncultured bacterium
Lineage: Bacteria
Description: partial 16S ribosomal RNA
Rfam family: Bacterial small subunit ribosomal RNA
Source: RNAcentral
AGCGAACGCUGGCGGCAGGCUUAACACAUGCCAGUCGAACGGGCACUUCGGUGCUAGUGGCAGACGGGUGAGUAACACGUGGGAACGUACCUUUCGGUUCGGAAUAAUCCAGGGAAACUUGGACUAAUACCGGAUACGCCCUUCGGGGGAAAGAUUCAUCGCCGAUAGAUCGGCCCGCGUCUGAUUAGCUAGUUGGUGAGGUAAUGGCUCACCAAGGCGACGAUCAGUAGCUGGUCUGAGAGGAUGAUCAGCCACAUUGGGACUGAGACACGGCCCAAACUCCUACGGGAGGCAGCAGUGGGGAAUAUUGGACAAUGGGCGCAAGCCUGAUCCAGCCAUGCCGCGUGAGUGAUGAAGGCCUUAGGGUUGUAAAGCUCUUUUGUCCGGGAAGAUAAUGACUGUACCGGAAGAAUAAGCCCCGGCUAACUUCGUG